CGAGCGGCGAACGGGUGAGUAACACGUGAGCAACCUGCCCCUGACUCUGGGAUAAGCGGUGGAAACGCCGUCUAAUACCGGAUACGACCCGCCACCUCAUGGUGGAGGGUGGAAAGUUUUUCGGUCAGGGAUGGGCUCGCGGCCUAUCAGCUUGUUGGUGGGGUAACGGCCUACCAAGGCGAUUACGGGUAGCCGGCCUGAGAGGGCGACCGGCCACACUGGGACUGAGACACGGCCCAGACUCCUGCGGGAGGCAGCAGUGGGGAAUAUUGCGCAAUGGGCGAAAGCCUGACGCAGCGACGCCGCGUGGGGGAUGACGGCCUUCGGGUUGUAAACCUCUUUUACCACCAACGCAGGCUCCCAGUUCUCUGGGGGUUGACGGUAGGUGGGGAAUAAGGACCGGCUAACUACGUGCCAGCAGCCGCGGUAAUACGUAGGGUCCGAGCGUUGUCCGGAAUUAUUGGGCGUAAAGAGCUCGUAGGCGGCGUGUCGCGUCUGCUGUGAAAGACCGGGGCUUAACUCCGGUUCUGCAGUGGAUACGGGCAUGCUAGAGGUAGGUAGGGGAGACUGGAAUUCCUGGUGUAGCGGUGAAAUGCGCAGAUAUCAGGAGGAACACCGGUGGCGAAGGCGGGUCUCUGGGCCUUACCUGACGCUGAGGAGCGAAAGCAUGGGGAGCGAACAGGAUUAGAUACCCUGGUAG
Molecule: ribosomal RNA, 700 nt
Filed under: Actinomycetes bacterium
Lineage: Bacteria; Bacillati; Actinomycetota; Actinomycetes
Description: bacterial SSU rRNA
Rfam family: Bacterial small subunit ribosomal RNA
Source: RNAcentral